GAUGAACGCUGGCGGCGUGCCUAAUACAUGCAAGUCGAGCGAAUGGAUUGAGAGCUUGCUCUCAAGAAGUUAGCGGCGGACGGGUGAGUAACACGUGGGUAACCUGCCCAUAAGACUGGGAUAACUCCGGGAAACCGGGGCUAAUACCGGAUAACAUUUUGAACCGCAUGGUUCGAAAUUGAAAGGCGGCUUCGGCUGUCACUUAUGGAUGGACCCGCGUCGCAUUAGCUAGUUGGUGAGGUAACGGCUCACCAAGGCAACGAUGCGUAGCCGACCUGAGAGGGUGAUCGGCCACACUGGGACUGAGACACGGCCCAGACUCCUACGGGAGGCAGCAGUAGGGAAUCUUCCGCAAUGGACGAAAGUCUGACGGAGCAACGCCGCGUGAGUGAUGAAGGCUUUCGGGUCGUAAAACUCUGUUGUUAGGGAAGAACAAGUGCUAGUUGAAUAAGCUGGCACCUUGACGGUACCUAACCAGAAAGCCACGGCUAACUACGUGCCAGCAGCCGCGGUAAUACGUAGGUGGCAAGCGUUAUCCGGAAUUAUUGGGCGUAAAGCGCGCGCAGGUGGUUUCUUAAGUCUGAUGUGAAAGCCCACGGCUCAACCGUGGAGGGUCAUUGGAAACUGGGAGACUUGAGUGCAGAAGAGGAAAGUGGAAUUGCAUGU
This 666-nucleotide ribosomal RNA is filed under the name uncultured Bacillus sp. RNAcentral's name for it is "bacterial SSU rRNA". It matches the Rfam family "Bacterial small subunit ribosomal RNA", at positions 28 to 674 of the family's 1533-position model. The record is from RNAcentral. Lineage: Bacteria; Bacillati; Bacillota; Bacilli; Caryophanales; Bacillaceae.